Molecule: ribosomal RNA, 235 nt
Filed under: uncultured Acholeplasma sp.
Lineage: Bacteria; Bacillati; Mycoplasmatota; Mollicutes; Acholeplasmatales; Acholeplasmataceae
Description: partial 16S ribosomal RNA
Rfam family: Bacterial small subunit ribosomal RNA
Source: RNAcentral
CACGCCGUAAACGAUGAGUACUAAGUGUCGGAAUAAUUCGGUGCUGUAGUUAACGCAAUAAGUACUCCGCCUGAGUAGUACGUGCGCAAGCAUGAAACUCAAAGGAAUUGACGGGACCCCGCACAAGCGGUGGAUCAUGUUGUUUAAUUCGAUGAUACGCGAAGAACCUUACCAGGUCUUGACAUCCUCUGCAAUGCUAUAGAGAUAUAGCGGAGGUUACCAGAGAGACAGGUGG